Molecule: ribosomal RNA, 27 nt
Filed under: Armillaria calvescens
Lineage: Eukaryota; Fungi; Basidiomycota; Agaricomycetes; Agaricales; Physalacriaceae
Description: partial 18S ribosomal RNA
Source: RNAcentral
CAUUAUUGAAACUUGAAUCGUAGCAUU